This 254-nucleotide ribosomal RNA is filed under the name uncultured bacterium. RNAcentral's name for it is "partial 16S ribosomal RNA". It matches the Rfam family "Bacterial small subunit ribosomal RNA", at positions 524 to 776 of the family's 1533-position model. The record is from RNAcentral.
UACGUAGGGUGCAAGCGUUGUCCGGAAUCAUUGGGCGUAAAGCGCGUGUAGGCGGCUUGUUAAGUCCGCUCUGAAAGCCCGGGGCUCAACCCCGGGAGGCGGGUGGAUACUGGCAAGCUCGAGUCCGGAAGAGGCGAGUGGAAUUCCCGGUGUAGCGGUGAAAUGCGCAGAUAAUCAGGAGGAACACCGGUGGCGAAGGCGGGUCUCUGGGCCGAUGACUGACGCUGAGGAGCGAAAGCGUGGGAGCGAACAGG